RNAcentral lists this ribosomal RNA (491 nucleotides) under uncultured bacterium. RNAcentral's name for it is "partial 16S ribosomal RNA". It matches the Rfam family "Bacterial small subunit ribosomal RNA", at positions 355 to 839 of the family's 1533-position model. The record is from RNAcentral.
UGGGGAAUUUUGGACAAUGGGCGAAAGCCUGAUCCCAGCAAUGCCGCGUGUGUGAAGAAGGCCUUCGGGUUGUAAAGCACUUUUUGUCCGGAAAGAAAUCCUUGGCUCUAAUACAGUCGGGGGAUGACGUACCGGAAGAAUAAGCACCGGCUAACUACGUGCCAGCAGCCGCGGUAAUACGUAGGGUGCAAGCGUUAAUCGGAAUUACUGGGCGUAAAGCGUGCGCAGGCGGUUUGCUAAGACCGAUGUGAAAUCCCCGGGCUCAACCUGGGAACUGCAUUGGUGACUGGCAGGCUAGAGUAUGGCAGAGGGGGGUAGAAUUCCACGUUAGCAGUGAAAUGCGUAGAGAUGUGGAGGAAUACCGAUGGCGAAGGCAGCCCCCUGGGCCAAUACUGACGCUCAUGCACGAAAGCGUGGGGAGCAAACAGGAUUAGAUACCCUGGUAGUCCACGCCCUAAACGAUGUCAACUAGUUGUUGGGGAUUCAUUUCC